AUUGAACGCUGGCGGCAGGCCUAACACAUGCAAGUCGAGCGCGUGGCGGACGGGAGAGUAGUGUCGGGGAAACUCCCUUAUGGAGGGGGAUAACUUCUGGAACGGGUAGCUAAUACCGCAUACCAUCAGAUGUGCCCAGAGGGGAUGAGCUUGUUGGUGGGGUAACGGCUCCCCAAGGCGACGAUCCCUAGCUGGUCUGAGAGGAUGACCAGCCACACUGGAACUGAGACACGGUCCAGACUCCUACGGGAGGCAGCAGUGGGGAAUAUUGCACAAUGGGCGCAAGCCGGAUGCAGCCAUGCCGCGUGUAUGAAGAAGGCCUUCGGGUUGUAAAGUACUUUCAGCGGGGAGGCGUUACCCACAGAAGAAGCACCGGCUAACUCCGUGCCAGCAGCCGCGGUAAUUC
This 406-nucleotide ribosomal RNA is filed under the name uncultured bacterium. RNAcentral describes it as "partial 16S ribosomal RNA". It matches the Rfam family "Bacterial small subunit ribosomal RNA", at positions 30 to 526 of the family's 1533-position model. The record is from RNAcentral.